UGGGGAAUCUUGCACAAUGGGGGAAACCCUGAUGCAGCGACGCCGCGUGAGCGAUGAAGGUUUUCGAAUCGUAAAGCUCUGUCCUAUGGGAAGAUAAUGACGGUACCAUGGGAGGAAGCCCCGGCUAACUACGUGCCAGCAGCCGCGGUAAUACGUAGGGGGCGAGCGUUGUCCGGAAUUACUGGGCGUAAAGGGUUCGCAGGCGGCAUGGCAAGUCCGAUGUAAAAGGCGAAGGCUCAACCUUCGUAAGCAUCGGAAACUGUCAAGCUUGAGUGAAGGAGAGGCAAGUGGAAUUCCUAGUGUAGCGGUGGAAUGCGUAGAUAUUAGGAGGAAUACCGGUGACGAAGGCGACUUGCUGGACUUCAACUGACGCUGAGGAACGAAAGCGUGGGUAGCAAACAGG
This 403-nucleotide ribosomal RNA is filed under the name Fusobacteriota bacterium. RNAcentral describes it as "Fusobacteria bacterium partial 16S ribosomal RNA". It matches the Rfam family "Bacterial small subunit ribosomal RNA", at positions 355 to 776 of the family's 1533-position model. The record is from RNAcentral. Lineage: Bacteria; Fusobacteriati; Fusobacteriota.